This 414-nucleotide ribosomal RNA is filed under the name uncultured eukaryote. Its description in RNAcentral is "bacterial SSU rRNA". It matches the Rfam family "Eukaryotic small subunit ribosomal RNA", at positions 592 to 1013 of the family's 1831-position model. The record is from RNAcentral.
CAAUAGCGUAUAUUAAAGUUGUUGCAGUUAAAAAGCUCGUAGUUGGACUUCUGAUGUGGAGGGACGGUCCGCCUCACGGUGAGCACUGAUUCUUCACGUCUUCCUCUCGUAGUCUUUUGGCGCACUUAGUUGGGUGCCUUUAGAAUAUGGGACCUUUACUUUGAAAAAAUUAGAGUGUUCAAAGCAGGCAAUCGCUUGAAUACAUUAGCAUGGAAUAAUAGAAUAGGACUUCGGUACUAUUUUGUUGGUUUCUAGGACCGAAGUAAUGAUUAAUAGGGACAGUUGGGGGCAUUCAUAUUCCAUUGUCAGAGGUGAAAUUCUUGGAUUAACGGAAGAUGAACUACUGCGAAAGCAUCUGCCAAGGAUGUUUUCAUUGAUCAAGAACGAAAGUUAGGGGAUCGAAGACGAUUAGAU